AAAGAGUUAGACGAAUACGCUUGUAGUGAAUGGAAGGACUGGUAAAUCGAGUAGAUAAAUAUGUUUAAGCCGUACAGCAUAGAUCGGCUGGAGCAGAUACUGCACAUUGAAAAAAUCAACAAAUAACCGUCUUGAUUGGGAGAACUAUGAUGCAGACAAUGAAUUGGACAACAGUUAUGUAUUAGACUCCACUCUAAUUGAUAAACUCACCAAGGAUAUUCA
Non-coding RNA from Cinara cedri, 222 nucleotides. NCBI's taxonomy places the organism in Eukaryota, Metazoa, Arthropoda, Insecta, Hemiptera, Aphididae. The record is from the annotation of a GenBank genome assembly.